UACGUAGGGUCCGAGCGUUGUCCGGAAUUAUUGGGCGUAAAGGGCUCGUAGGCGGUUCGUCGCGUCGGGAGUGAAAACUCAGGGCUUAACCCUGAGCCUGCUUCCGAUACGGGCAGACUAGAGGUAUGCAGGGGAGAACGGAAUUCCUGGUGUAGCGGUGAAAUGCGCAGAUAUCAGGAGGAACACCGGUGGCGAAGGCGGGUCUCUGGGCCGAUACUGACGCUGAGGAGCGAAAGCGUGGGGAGCGAACAGG
Molecule: ribosomal RNA, 253 nt
Filed under: uncultured bacterium
Lineage: Bacteria
Description: partial 16S ribosomal RNA
Rfam family: Bacterial small subunit ribosomal RNA
Source: RNAcentral